AUUGAACGCUGGCGGCAGGCCUAACACAUGCAAGUCGAGCGGAUGAAGGGAGCUUGCUCUGGGAUUCAUCGGCGGACGGGUGAGUAAUGCCUAGGAAGCUGCCUGGUAGUGGGGGAUAACGUCCGGAAACGGGCGCUAAUACCGCAUACGUCCUGAUGGUGAAAGUGUGGGAUCUUCGGACCUCACGCUAUCAGAUGACCCUAGGUCGGAUUAGCUAGUUGGUGGGGUAAAGGCCUACCAAGGCGACGAUCCGUAACUGGUCUGAGAGGAUGAUCAGUCACACUGGAGCUGAGAAGCGGUCCAGACUACUACGGGAGGCAGCAGUGGGGAAUAUUGGACAAAGGGCGAAAGCCUGAUCCAGCCACGCCGCGGGUGUGAAGAAGGUCUUCGGAUUGUAAAGCACUUUAAGUUGGGAGGAAGGGCAGUAGGUUAAUAUCUUGCUGUUUUGACGUUACCUACAGAAUAAGCACCGGCUAACUACGUG
RNAcentral lists this ribosomal RNA (484 nucleotides) under uncultured bacterium. RNAcentral's name for it is "partial 16S ribosomal RNA". It matches the Rfam family "Bacterial small subunit ribosomal RNA", at positions 30 to 507 of the family's 1533-position model. The record is from RNAcentral.